Long non-coding RNA from Passer domesticus (house sparrow), 8737 nucleotides. RefSeq lists it as uncharacterized. Lineage: Eukaryota; Metazoa; Chordata; Aves; Passeriformes; Passeridae. The transcript is spliced from 4 exons. The record is from RefSeq and is a predicted model, not a curated record.
AGGAUAUGUCAUUUUGGAUGUAAUUUUAAAACAAACUGAUCAUGUCUCAUAUGAAUAGUGUGUACGAUGUCAAAUUGAGGCUCUUGCGGACAGAGAUAAAUGGGAGCAUAGAAACCUUGCUUUAUAAGAGAAAAAUAAAUGUUGGUUUUCUAUAAAUAUGUGAUCUCUUUAAAUAUUAAAAACAGGAGAAACAUUUCUAUCAGCUAAAAGCUGAGCUUUUCAAACAUUUGAACAAGUAGUUACAGUAGGGACAAUUUUUUUCUUUUUUGUCACUGUAGACAGAAAUGUCUAAGGCUUGUUAAACCUAUCUGUUUUUAAAAUGGGACUCAGUUCACUGUUACAUAUGACCUGAACUGAAUGUUAGGGAUGUGAACCUAAAGACUCAGGAUUUUCUUAUAAUUCCUGUGUUUGUUCACGUUGUCAACUUCCCUUUGAGGGGUAAGGAAUCAAUUUGUGAAGUUCAAAUGACUUAAAUUUCUCACAUUAAAUUUCAAAAUUUAUUCACUAAAUUCUGAAAAUAUUUGGAAUGAAAUAUUGGUAAAAAAAAAUUCAUUGCGUACUUGUCUUUGUUUAAGACAAUUUACAGGGUGGAGCCUGGGAAGCAAGCUCCCUCCCCUUUAGUUUAAAUAAUUUACACCAAUUUAACCCUUUCAUCAAUAAGGAGAAAUGAAUGUAAGGAGAAGUAAGUGAAAAAAAUAACUGUUUACUAAAAAAAAAACCAAACCAACAACAACUAAGAUAACAAUAAUAAGCACUAGAUAUUAAUGUGCUGAAUCCUGUGGACUCCAUGGGACCAAAACAAUAUGGUGGAUUGUCCUUUAAAAGAGAGGGAUCUGCCAAGAAAGGCAGGAAUCUUCCUUGAAUGGAGAAGAUGACCCCCUGACUGCCUCCCUACAAAUUUUUAUAACUCUGAAAUUAUGGGGCUGUCAGGCAAAGAUAGGGGAAAAUAAAUGACAGCAGUUCUUUACUAGAAUACACACACACACACACACACUCACACACACACACACACACACAUAACAACAGGAACAACAACAGCAACAUCAACAACACAAAAAAGAAGAAAACUCAAUAAGAGCCUUUUCCCGCCCUUUGGUGUAUGGACACAACUGGCAUGGAGUGCUGAUGGCUCGUGUUGAGGCAGAGGGGCUGUAAUGACUCCCCUAGGGCUUACAGGGGAUACUGGGAUAUGAGCCCUGAGCCUCCCAAGGGGUUUAUGGCCCAGGGAAGAGAGAGAAGCUAGAGGGGCUGGAGGCUGUUCAGUUUCCCUGUGUUUUCAGGUGUCUGGUGCAGUAACCUGGUAAUGGUGGCUCUAUUGAGGUUCUAGUCUACAAGCAGCUGGGAGGUGGUCUCUCCAGACAGAAGGAGAGAGGAGUUGGGGGCCCAGUCUUUUUCCCUUGGAAAUACCCACGCAGAUGGUGCAGGUCUCUCCUGAUGAGGAUGGGUGCUGCAGAGUGAGUCCUAGUCCACUGGCAGUUUACUGUAAGCAGUGGCCUCACCAAUAGGCAGUCAGGAGAAAACUUCACAGCAGUGCCAGACCCCCUGGGCUGAAAAAGUCCAGCACCAGCCACCACAACCAUCUCCCCUGCAAACCAGUAAAAGACUGCUCCACCCCCAGCUAAGAUCAACAUCUGUUUGCCAUUUCCAUGACAACAAAUGUGAAGAAAAUUCCUUCAAGAAACCUAACCCCAAACACAAACAAAUCCCUUGCCCAGUAUGGCUACCUCUUUAGUCAACUGUGUGGCCCAUAGGGCAAAGACAAGAUGAUGAAGAAGCCCUGUUCAGCUCAACCUUCCCCUUUGGUGUUAGUUCCUCUGCUUCUUUUUGACCAGCUGGACCCAGCUGAUGUUGGUGUUGCAGUCCUGAACUGCUGCUGUGUUCCGGAGAAAGAAAAUAGACUCACUGGGCAUUGAAACCCAUAGCCCCAGGCCCAACAGCUCCAGCUUGGUGGUACAGCUGUGUAUUGUAAAACUCUCUCUGAAAUAGUUUUGGAUUGUAAAAUUUGCAGUUUCUUGGAGAUCUGGCCAGGCAACUUCCCACAGACCUCAGAGAGAAACGAAAGAAGGCUUCUGCCUCAUGCUGCCUUGGCCCAGAGAACCUGCCCCAGCUAACUCUCUUGGCAGCUCAGUGAGAAUGGAAGAGGGCUCUGUGUGCCUGUUCCCUGUCUCUUAAAGAGAACCUGAGAAUCCCCAUGUCCCUGAAAACUUGGUGUCAAAACUCCAAUUCCUAUUUUGGUUCCCAGGUUUUAAAGGGACAGUAAAACAAACUGCGUGGAUUUUUGUAGAGAAAAAAUGGAAUAAAAUACAUUUUUUUUUGGUCACCCAGGAAAAUACUUUUCUAUUUUUCACAUAAUUUAUAAAAGUCAUUCCAUCCUCUGAAUUAUGGAGAUUACUAAAAAUCUGUUUCAAAGGAAUCUGCUAAUAUCAAUGCCAAGUUGAUUUUAAUGAUAUCAAAUUUUAGCUUUCAGAAUGCUGCAGGGUAAAUAUAAUAAAUAAAAUUUAUUAAUGUAUUAAAUGUACAUUACAGGGGAAAAACUCCAAAGACAAACACUCCUUCCAUAUAAGCUUGGCUCUUAAAACUACACAUUGUCAUACUGCAGCAAUUGCUGUUAAAAAUGUGAUAUCACUCUCACUGGAAAGCAUAAGGCACAUGCUGUAGUUUUAGGUUCAUGUUUCCAAACUCACAAAAUCUUUUCAGGGUUCUUCAUCUUUUCAAGACAGUUAAUUUGAUAACAAACAUACAGAAAAAAAUAGCGGGGAGUCAGGGGAGAAGAAUUACCAUGUAGCAAAGGAAAUGUGUGAAGUUAUACUCAUGGUUCUUUGCCCACUGCUGUUUUUCUCCAUGUCAAAGAAAGUGUUCACUUGUAUUCAUCAAAUGUACCAUCACAGACAAUAUUUACAAAUAGUACUGUUGUUAAACAUAUUCUGUGGUAAUUUUGUAGCAUCUGUUAAGAGUUUUAAGACUUGUCCAAGAAGUUUUUUGUCAGUUUUGUGUUACACUGAACAUUUGUCUCAAAUGGCAAAUAUGCAUUUAAUAAUAGUUAAAUAAAACUCUGUGUUGAGGACAAGUUUGAGAGAUAUCCCUGGGAAUCCUACAUUAAUCCAACAUGGUAGUAUUUUUUCAUGUCCCCCUGCAAUCAUGCAGAUUGCUGUUGCCUUAAAACUGAAGGCUGGAGAAAAGUAUCACUGGUGUUGGAGACAGGAAUGCGACAAAACACAUCAAGGUUCAUGCACAACAGCCAACUUUUAUUGAAUGAUCUUUUCCUUGCAUGGAUUUGAAGGUUUGUGCAUUUAUUCCCAUUGGCCAAACCAGUUGCCACCCGGCCAACCAGCCAAUAGCUGCUCGUGUCCGCAGUGGACUAGACCUGCUCUCCAACAGUCCACACUGGUCAAGUUACAUAAUCAAGGCACUUACAUAAUUAGUUAUAUUUCAGUUGUAAGAUUUGGAUUAUAAAUAAUUGUGAGGCCUUCAGGCCAGCUGUUAGCUACCACAGAAAGGGAUGUAUAGAUUUCACAAAACAAGAGUAUGUAAGUGUAUAUAUGUUUUGAGCUCAAUCCAGCAGGAUUUGUGGAGUAGUAAUUGGAAGAAUCUUCCUGAGAAGAAUUAAUUAGAUACAAAUGGGGCAUGUUUAAGCUCAAAAUUGAAAAUAUGCACUACUCUUGCAUUUGGUGACAAAGGUGAAUUUCGACAACUUAUUGUAAUGUAGUAAGACCUGACAAAUAAUGGAUAUGAAGGACCUGUUUGGUACAGGAAUUGGUCACAGUCAACACAGCUUCUUGAGAGGAGAGUCCUGCUUGCCAAGCCUGAUUUCCUUUUAUGACAAGUAUCCUCCAGAAAAAAAAUGUCCAGCCUACAUCUGGUUAAAGACAUCAUGGGAUGGAUGUUCUGCUCAGGGGGAGGAACCAAGCAUUCGCAUCUGGAUAUAAUCUGAGGCUUGGAACACCAAAGGCGGCCUUAUCCACUGAAUUCCCAGAGGAAGACCAGACGCUUCUACACCACCACUGGACAUUCCGAGGAAGACCUUCUUCUGCUUCAACAAAACCACAUCUAUCACUCCAAGAGGACUGCAGCCAUGAUUUAAUUGGACUGAUACCAACACCCUGACCAACAUGGCGUCAGGUUGUAUUGUGACCCUAUCAGUGAUUUUAUACUAUUAAAUUUAUUUUAAUGCUCCUAUUAAAUUAUAGUUAUGACAUGGAAUCUUCCACUGGUUUGCUUUCAUACUAAUACAAUUGGUAUUCCUCCUAUGCCUUUCCAAAGAGAAAAAAGUUGAUUGAGGUAAAGGUAUGAUAUAUAUUCUAUGUAUCAUAUUUUUUAGGUAUACUGAAGUUAAGAUAAUCUAAUAAAGCAUAGGGGGCUCUAAGGUAUUCUUUUUCUUGUCAAGUCCUCUAUAGUAGGGCUAUGGCAAUGGUUCUAAUUUUGGAAUAUAUCUGAUAGAAUAAUUCUGAAAAAAAAGUGUUACCAUAACUUAGGUCCUAAUACCUGGCUAUCUGUGAUGUUUCUUCAAAUCUGCACUCAUGUAAAUGCAACUUAAAUAAAGAACAAGAAUCUCAACAUCUGUAAAAAAGUUAUACUGCCCUUUGCCUUCUAAAGAAUGUAAAUCCCCUUUGCUCUUUUCAAAGCUGAAAUAAAAAUAAAGCCUUUAUCCCAAUGCCAAGUAAUUUGAACUUGAGGCACUUGCUGUUUAAAUUCUUCAAAAUAAAUUUCCAGUUGAAUCCACCAGAAUGGAGAUUUGCUACACCUUUUCUUCUUUCAUUCAAUUUUUAACUAAUCUGAAAUCCUUUACUGGUUGACAGUUCUGAACUAUACACCUAGAUUUUCCACUGGUGAAUUUUGGGCGGAUGCCAAUAGGUCUCAUACAUUUUUUUCAUGUAUUCCCUUGCUAACUCUGGGCUAAAUUUACAUUUCAAAUGAGAAGAAGCCAUAUAAACCUCCCACAGAUCUGUUUGUUGUAACAACAGUAACCCAAACCCAUCAAAUUUUAUUUUUCAAUGAAAGAUAUCAUAAAGAAACUAAAAAAAAAAUGUAGUUCCUGUCUACUAAAUUAAAUGGUGCUUUUCAGAGAGAAAUAGGAAAGGGAAUCUUUUAUUUUCCUUCAAUACUUUCUCAGCUAUGUGAUCAAAAUAUAUCAGGAACUGGUUAAUAAAGCAAUGGUGCUUUCUUUAGCUUGUACCAGUGAGCUUUAGGACUCACAAAGUUGUAUUUUUCAGUACCUGAAAAUGGACUGCUGGCUCUUUACUGCGAAGAUUGUUGUGGUUGACACAAUUAUUUAAGAUAAUCUUUUAUCCUAAUGCUAGGGCCUGUAAACUGUUUCCCUUUUCUCUUCAAAUGUGCUGUGUUUAAUAAGCAACUUUUUCAGCAAAAGUGCAUCUUUAAAAAUAAUGGGAAUGGAGUGCAGCAGAAGACUUCCUGGACCAGCUGAGGGUAAACAUAUUUAGCAGUGAAAACAAGGAUGAUGAGUGAUUGAUAGAAUAAUUGCCAAACUUGCAUGCAAUUGAGGAUGCUAGGGUCAGUAGGCUAGCUCUUUUGGAAAAAUAUUGAAGGAUUUUGCCUUGCUUCUAUAGGGAAUUUGGAAAAAAAAUAGAAGGGAAAAAAAGAGAAAGGUCCAGGAAGCAGCAUAAGUGUUUUGUCUCAUGAUCUUUCUUUACAGUAACAGUGAUGUCAGAGCUAAUAUCUUCUCAUGUGUGGACUAGUUAUUUGUUAUUAAUACUCAUUCAUAACAGCAUACAAAUGCCACUAAAUUAUGGAAAACAUUAUUUCUUAUAUCCUUGGCAAUGUUUCAGAAGCAUUUAAAGGCUCCUGAUGGGAUAAAGGUUUUGCAGUCAUACCUCAUCAUUGUGAGUCAAAACCUGCCCUUGAGAAGUGUUAGCAGACCCUCGGGUCUCUUGUGUCCCAAUAUAGUGCCCUGGCAAAACUGCCUCUAAUUAUAAUGCACAGAAGUAAUAUUGCAGUCAAUGAAACUUAAAUAGAAUUAGUAUAAUUCACAGCAUUGAAGAGAUUGGAUUCUCAGUUUAUAAGAACAGAGAAGACAAUGAGAAUUUUAAAAUAUAAUUAUUUAGCUUUGCCAGGAUUAGAAUGACCUUGGCUCUCAGCCAAGAACAUUCCAAUUGAGCUAACACCAGGAAACACAUCUAAUGUUGAGAUUGUCUUUGCAAUAUGAUAACAAUUUAAUUUAAUUUGUGAAGGUCAUCCAAACUUGUAUUAAGGACAGUAUUAGUGUACAGUAUGUUCACAUAUUUUAAUGUCACAGUGUAAAAGACAUGAAAAGGAGUCCAAGAACCAGGAUACAACUACUCUAAGAAAUGUUACAAAAUGAUGCAAUACUAUUUCUUAAAAAAUAUUAUAAUGAAAUGUCAGAGUUCAUAGAUGUUAUUUUAACUUUAAAGUCUAGUUUUUAAUUUCUUCAUUUAACUCCAUUUAUUUUACACACUAUAUACAGCUGUUCAAACUCAUAAUACAUUUCAAAUCAGAAAGCAUUAUGAGAAGUCAGUCAAGACAUUCUCAGACUGCUCAUAGUAGUCAUAUUUGGCUUAUUGGAAACUAGGGAAACUGCAUAGUAUUUAUUUGGAAUAAAAGUGCAAAAGAAGCAGUCCUUUGUUAAAUUUCAAUUUUGACCUAUCUCAUUAUGCAAUCAUGUCUUCAGAUUGUGCAGACUGGGAUCAAGGAGAUGACAAAUGCUAGGAAAGGCACCUUUUUUGUACAGUUCUACCACAAUGCACAUAUGAAAACAUGGCUUUAGCUUAAAUUUACCAAAGAGGUGGCUGUGCUAUGGCGCUUGGCUGUGGACUGGAGUGACAGAAGUGUAGGUGUAUUUCUCUCUGCCUCUUUGCAUGGCUGACUAAGGUGAUUUCUUUGACUGCUUCUGCUACAUAUACCCAUGGAUGCCCCUCAAAUCCUGUGGAUAGGUGGAAAGACCUAUUACAAUCUUCCUAAUCUGUGUGAAAUAUUUUUCAACAAAAUUGUAAUUUAUGGAAUGUAACAGAAUUGCUUGGGAAAAAAGGAGCAGAGGUAGCAGCAGAUUUAACAAAUCAAAGGUUGUGCUACAGAUAGCUUUCUUAUUUUCCAGGAUUAUAAACAGAGCAGGAAAGCAUUCCUUUCAAUAGCUUUCUUUGAACUCAUUCAGAUAAUAUAUGUAUUGGAAAGCUGAGAGAAGGAGAAAUUAGGGACAAAAAUGAAAUUUCAGCUUUAUCUAAGAGGUCACCAUAACCUUUGUCUUCCCAUCUUCCAAAUCUUUCAGUCUUGAGAGUUAAGAGGACAGAUUUACUUGGAUGAAUUAUGUAGUAAUUAUAGAUAUAUAAUUAAUUAUAAUAGAAGAGUCUUUUUGCCACUCUUCUCACUCUCUUUGAGUUGAAUAUAUAAAUAUAUUUCUUAGGGAUGGGAAGCAACUGCCUUUUUUAGAUGACCUUGAUGAAGAAGAGGUGAACUAGAAGGUCCUCAAAGACUUUACAAAUCAGAGAAGAUUUUAAUGCCAGUUGUGGAAGCAGGAUUUGGAGAAUACUAGCAAGUCAACUUGUGGAAUGAGGGACAAGUAUGCUUUGCUUUCAAGGGACUUAGACAAACCACAUGCCUUUAGAAGUAGUUUUUGUUUUCUAAAAAAUCAAUCUUUCUAAAUAUUGUAAUUGAAGAGUAUGAUUUUUCCCCCCUUCUUUUGUAUUGUUUUUGGUUUUGUUUGUUUUUGUUUUUGUUUUUGUUUUUUAGAGCUAAUUUGGAUUUUACAAUGACAACAAUUUAGGACUAAUUCUAAUAAAAGGGGCUGUGCAAUGAAGAAAUAAUUUCAGGGAGUUGAAAAUCAGUUGAUAAUCUAUUGAUAAUCAUAUUGAAUUGCAUGUUCAUCUUCUUUCUUGGACUCUAUAUCAGUCUGUGCCACUGUGCCAUUUCUGAAAGACAAAGUGUUUGUAGUACUUAUUACAGGAAACCCAGUACAAGUCAUUUUACAUGACUGGUAUUAAACAGUAAUAAAACCACUGAAUCUGUUUUCUUGAGCUCUUUUUUGGAUAAACUUUACAGGUCAAUAAAGUUCAAGCCUACCUUGUCCUACCUUGAUGUUUUUGUUUUCAGUCUUGUAAUUGCAGAUACUGAAAUUAUUUCUACAUGGCAGCGUACAGGUCUAGUGAUUCACUGAAGAAUUGGUAGCUGAAUAUCUGUAAAGGCCACCGCUCAUGCUAUCACAACUUCCUUAAUUUUGAAAGUUAUAGGAAAAAAAAUUGUCUUCUGGCUGUUAAGUGUAUACACUUACUAGAGUGACUGUUGCAAGUUGUCCUGGUUCUAGACAAGACAGAGCUAAUUUUUUUCAAUAUCCAAAAUGGAGCAUGGCCAGGACCAUGGAGAUUACUUUGUUUCAUUUCAUGUCAUUGCUGGGAGCAGGGGAAAGGGAUUCUCUUGUCUCUUCCAGGGAGGAGGGCUUCCUUCCUGUCAAGAAAACAUGGUAGGGGAAGCCAUCUAAUAUUUGUUUAUUGUUGUGGAUGUUCUAUGUAAAUUGUUUCUUUAUUUUACACCUUUAGUUAGUAAUAUUGUUGUGUUAUGGUUAAUUUCCUUACCUCAUUGCUGUUUCCAGUAAAUUAUUUUGAUCUCAAACUAUGCUCUUUACCUUUUGUGCCUCCAAUGGAAGGGGGAGAGGAGAAUGAGUGGUGGCGUGGUUUUAAUGGGAAAACUAAAUUAGAGAAUAACAUUCCUAAACCAUAACACAAGUCAAAUCACAUAUUAAUAAUUUUCAGUUUUCAGAUUGUAUUUUCCUCCU